AUUUAAAUAGCUUAUUUGAAAAGCAUAAUAUUGAAGAUAUUAAGAAAAUUAAAGAUAAUUUUUAGAUA
Molecule: transfer RNA, 68 nt
Filed under: Pheidole nodus
Lineage: Eukaryota; Metazoa; Arthropoda; Insecta; Hymenoptera; Formicidae
Description: tRNA-Phe
Source: RNAcentral